UGGGGAAUUUUGGACAAUGGGGGAAACCCUGAUCCAGCCAUCCCGCGUGUGCGAUGAAGGCCUUCGGGUUGUAAAGCACUUUUGGCAGGAAAGAAACGUCAUGGGUUAAUACCCCGUGAAACUGACGGUACCUGCAGAAUAAGCACCGGCUAACUACGUGCCAGCAGCCGCGGUAAUACGUAGGGUGCAAGCGUUAAUCGGAAUUACUUGGCGUAAAGCGUGCGCAGGCGGGUCGGAAAGAAAGAUGUGAAAUCCCAGAGCACAACUUUGGAACUGCAUUUAUAACUACCGGGCUAGAGUGUGUCAGAGGGAGGUGGAAUUCCGCGUGUAGCAGUGAAAUGCAUAGAUAUGCGGAGGAACACCGAUGGCGAAGGCAGCCUCCUGGGAUAACACUGACGCUCAUGAACGAAGGCGUGGGGAGCAAACAGG
Molecule: ribosomal RNA, 429 nt
Filed under: Acidobacteriota bacterium
Lineage: Bacteria; Pseudomonadati; Acidobacteriota
Description: Acidobacteria bacterium partial 16S ribosomal RNA
Rfam family: Bacterial small subunit ribosomal RNA
Source: RNAcentral